GUGGGUGUAGCUCAGUUGGUUAGAGCGGCUGGUUGUGGCCCAGCAGGUCGCGGGUUCAAGUCUCGUCACUCACCCCA
RNAcentral lists this transfer RNA (77 nucleotides) under Lentisphaerota bacterium. Its description in RNAcentral is "Lentisphaerae bacterium tRNA-His". It matches the Rfam family "tRNA". From Rfam's summary of the family: Transfer RNA (tRNA) molecules are approximately 80 nucleotides in length. Their secondary structure includes four short double-helical elements and three loops (D, anti-codon, and T loops). Lineage: Bacteria; Pseudomonadati; Lentisphaerota. The record is from RNAcentral. RNAcentral also lists the same sequence under 1 other name.